This 560-nucleotide long non-coding RNA is filed under the name Setaria italica (foxtail millet). RNAcentral's name for it is "long non-coding RNA (SITA_LNC000107)". Lineage: Eukaryota; Viridiplantae; Streptophyta; Magnoliopsida; Poales; Poaceae. The record is from RNAcentral.
CUCUUUUCAGCUAUAACAGAGUUAAGUGGAGGGUGAAAAGACUCUUUUGCCCCCAGCCAUGACCAAGCCUAUCUUGCACAGGACAUGCAGUUUUGCCGUAUGUAUUUUGUGUAUGUGUGGGCAUUCGUUCGUUCAGCAACUCCAGAAGCUUGCCGCCGCUCAUCUGGCCAAUCUCGUUGCUUCCACACGGUGAACUCGUCGCUCGCUCAUGAGCAGCAGAUACAAAUUGAUUCCUCGCUGGCCUCAUUGCUCACUGCUCUGGACCGGCAGUGCUCACCGCUCGACUGGUUGGGCUCCGGCGAGUGGCUGCGGCCGCGAUAGGUCGGAGCUAUCUGAGCAAGGGAGGCUACCAGAUUCACGCGCGCACCGCACAUCUACAGUAGCCCUGCAUUGACAGACUCAGAGACGAUCACAUUUGUCGAUCAGAUAAACACUGAUUACUAAUUGAGGCGCCAGCGUGGAGGCGGCGUCGAGAGUGGGGACGGGGACGGGGUCCAAGAGCAGCUUCAUGCGCUCGGGGCGGCGCACGGUCGGCCGGCGGAGGAGCUCGCCGACGGGAC